CACACACACACACACACACACACUCAGGAUUCCUCUUUCAGUGGGAAGAGAAGAAACUGACAAAGAGACCAUUCACACACACAUACACACACACCCAGAGAGACAGGCAGAAUGAGAGCAAACACACACACACACACACACACACACUGCAGAAUCUCUGAAUGAUUUGAUAAGUUAAUAAGCAGCUGAGUAUCUUUAGAGCAGUGUGUUUCUCUGUGUGUGUGUUUGCGCAUCAGACUGACUGUGACAUCACCAGUGCUAUAUAUGACCACACCCCCUUUCCUCAAGGCCCCUCCCCCUCAGCCUCUCUCAGCUCUCGCCCACCCCUCAUUCUCUCAUUCUGACGCUCUGUCGACUCUGGUGUGUGUUUUUGUGUGACUCUGAGCUGCGCUUAAAGCUAUACAUUACACACACACACACACACACACCCAUGGUGACCUUUGAACUUUGAACCCUUGAGUCAGUCAGCUGGGUGAAGAGUCCUCUCUGUGCUGCUGUGUGUGACUACAGCUGAUCUCCGGAGCUGACAUUAGGUUCAAGGAAUGCAGAAUAUUCCUUCUUUUUCCUUGUGUCUGUGUGUGUGUGUGUGUGUGUGUCAUUGAGAAAGAGCCUCACAUAUUGAGUUUAACAGACCCGUGGUUUAUAAAGAUUACAGUGUGUGUGUGUGUGUGUGUGUGUGUGUGUGUGUGUUUCAUUUAUUUUCAGUGAUUGUGUGUGAUUCUCUAUCAGUUCUGUUACUGAUGGACGAAGUGUUUGUAGUGUUUACAUUAAACUGAACAU
Danio rerio (zebrafish) is the source of this 780-nucleotide non-coding RNA. NCBI's taxonomy places the organism in Eukaryota, Metazoa, Chordata, Actinopteri, Cypriniformes, Danionidae. The record is from RefSeq and is a predicted model, not a curated record.